Macaca fascicularis (crab-eating macaque) is the source of this 103-nucleotide small nucleolar RNA. Lineage: Eukaryota; Metazoa; Chordata; Mammalia; Primates; Cercopithecidae. The record is from Ensembl.
UUCCUUUCAUAGUUCAUAUGUGUGAUGAUUGGGUGUUCGUGCUCAUGCGUGAGAUGUGCUUCCCUUACGCCUUGUUCAGACAUGAGCACUUUACCAUCUGAUG